GGGAAUGUGGUUUAGUGGUAAAGUGCAUGCCUUGCAUGCGUGAAGCCAUGGGUUUGAUUCUUCAGUACCA
Dipodomys ordii (Ord's kangaroo rat) is the source of this 70-nucleotide non-coding RNA. NCBI's taxonomy places the organism in Eukaryota, Metazoa, Chordata, Mammalia, Rodentia, Heteromyidae. The record is from Rfam.